RNAcentral lists this long non-coding RNA (292 nucleotides) under Salvia miltiorrhiza (redroot sage). RNAcentral's name for it is "long non-coding RNA (SMIL_LNC009363)". Lineage: Eukaryota; Viridiplantae; Streptophyta; Magnoliopsida; Lamiales; Lamiaceae. The record is from RNAcentral.
GGAUCGGUGGCGGAUGAGCUCGAAUUCGUCGUCGUCGCCGGAUCGAUGGCGGAGAAGCUCGAGAUCCGAUUUGCCAGAGCGGGAUGGUUUCACCGGAAAAUUGAAGAAGAAGAAGAAGAUGAAUAGUGAUGACCAGAAAAAAAAUAAAAAAAAAAAUAAAAAAAGAAGAAACGGAGUUAAACCGCCGUUAACGGCUGGACCUAUCUGUAUAUUUUUCUUCGACUUUGGGGGCCAAAUUGUACCAAAGUCGAGUAUGGGGGUUUAAACGCUCUAGGGGGGUCUACCUUAGGGG